RNAcentral lists this long non-coding RNA (444 nucleotides) under Homo sapiens (human). Its description in RNAcentral is "non-protein coding lnc-MRPL57-5:6". Lineage: Eukaryota; Metazoa; Chordata; Mammalia; Primates; Hominidae. The record is from RNAcentral.
CACGCUGUGCGCCAAAAAGCCGGGCGGCUUCGGAGCCAGAGCAGCGGCUCUGCGGCGCAGGCGGCGGGUCGGGGCAGCCUUGAAGCCGGGAUCCGGCCCGAAGGGUGAGCACCAGCUCGUCUCCGGUGGGCGCCGCCUUCAAUGUCAAGUUCCAGGGCAGUCGCUUGGACCCGUUUGGCGAGGUCUUUUUGGAGUUCCUGAGCUCAGUGCCCCAGAAGGAUUUCAUACUGCACAAGAAAAAGCCUUGAGAAAGACAGAAUUGCUUGUGGACCGUGCGUGUUCCACCCCACCUGGGCCCCAGACCGUGCUGAUCCUUGAUGAGCUCUCGGAUUCCUUGUGCAGAGUGACCGACUUGGCUGAUUUUGUGAAAAUCGCUCACCCUGAGCCAGCAUUCAGGGAAGUCGCAGAAGAAGCUUGUAGAAGUAUUGGCACCAUGGUAGAGAA